AGCGAACGCUGGCGGCAUGCCUAACACAUGCAGGUCGAACGAGACCUUCGGGUCUAGUGGCGCACGGGUGCGUAACGCGUGGGAACCUGCCCUUAGGUUCGGAAUAACUCCCCGAAAGGGGUGCUAAUACCGGAUAAUGUCUUCGGACCAAAGAUUUAUCGCCUUUGGAUGGGCCCGCGUUGGAUUAGCUAGUUGGUAGGGUAAAAGCCUACCAAGGCGACGAUCCAUAGCUGGUCUGAGAGGAUGAUCAGCCACACUGGGACUGAGACACGGCCCAGACUCCUACGGGAGGCAGCAGUGGGGAAUAUUGGACAAUGGGCGAAAGCCUGAUCCAGCAAUGCCGCGUGAGUGAUGAAGGCCUUAGGGUUGUAAAGCUCUUUUACCCGGGAUGAUAAUGACAGUACCGGGAGAAUAAGCUCCGGCUAACUCCGUG
This 433-nucleotide ribosomal RNA is filed under the name uncultured bacterium. RNAcentral describes it as "partial 16S ribosomal RNA". It matches the Rfam family "Bacterial small subunit ribosomal RNA", at positions 29 to 507 of the family's 1533-position model. The record is from RNAcentral.